This 2053-nucleotide small RNA is filed under the name Histoplasma capsulatum. RNAcentral describes it as "hypothetical RNA". The record is from RNAcentral. RNAcentral also lists the same sequence under 1 other name. Lineage: Eukaryota; Fungi; Ascomycota; Eurotiomycetes; Onygenales; Ajellomycetaceae.
UCUAUUUCUGAAAGGCAAUGGGUUAAUUGCCGACAGGUAUUCUAGGUCCAUAAUUUAAAGAGUAAUAAUUUAGUUUAUUUGAGCUCCACUGGUGCCAGUCAGAGCUGGGGUUGGCUGCUCAUCGAGUUAGGUGGGAAGGGAGCAAUUAUAUUAUUUAAACUGCGGAAUUCAUUGCAUGCUAGUUUCUCUAUGUGCUAGGACUAAAUAAACAGAGGAAUCCAUUGCUACAGAACACCAGGGCAGUUCUCACUAGAUAGACGGCCGCUGUUCGAGUCUCUGGGGGAAAUCAUUCAAGAUUCCUCACAGCCUCUUGGGAACUUCAAACCAAAACAGGAGGGUAAAAGUAAUAUAAAAUGCAAGCAGGGAAUGAGUAUGACCUCCGCGUGGCGAAAUGGGGGUUGCAAUGGGAUGGCCGUCCGACUCCAAAAUUUCGAACCAGGUAUAAGGAAUGAUCGCAUUGGGAACUAGAUUGUUGUUGAUUUCAACUUCUCGCCUAGCUCAUCAACGGUUUUAUCCACGCUCUGAACUACUGGCUGGUUCUCAGCCACGUCGGCCUCCGUGAGUAUAUGUUCGGCUUUUGCUUGAAUGUCGAUUUCAGUAUCAGUCGCUACGCUUUCCCAUUCCCAUUCCUCCGCCUCGUUCUCCUCCUCCUCCUCCUCUUCUUCUUCUUCCUCCUCGCCUUCUAGCUCGUCAAGUUCAUCUAGACCCCAUGCAUCUUCCUUGUCAUUUUUUCCAAAUCGUGCUUUGCGUCUCUUCAAUAGCUCUUGUAGUCUCAUGAUAUUUUCGUUAUCCUCAUCAAAAGCAUUCGCAUUGAGGAAAACCUUCUUAAGCGCGGGGAGGCUAGUUUUAGCAACAUGAACCAACGCUCCCACCCCCUUGCCAUUUAUCUCGUUCCCUUUCAGCUUAAGAAUCUCAAGUUUCGUGUUCCCGCCAGCAGAAAGCGCCUUCGCAACCCGGAGCCAGCCCUUAGCCGUGAGGGCACAGUCGUCAACCCCCAGCUCGCGAAGAGAUGGCAAUCCCGACAAUACCGCGGCUAGAGCAACAGAGCCUUCCUUCCCAUACGUAUUAUCUUCCAAGUCGAAGACUUCCAACUCAGGCGCAUGACAAAUGCCUGUGUUCAGUAGUUUUACGACGCCCUUGGAAUAAAUGCCAUUCUGCUUCAUCCUAAUUGUCCGAAGUCCCUUGCCGUUUGCCUUAAUAGCCCGUGCCCAUGCUUCCAUGCUUCCAGCCUCGAGUCUGUUCCGGCCACAGACGAUGGUCUCGAGGGCUGGGAUUUCAUAUUUUAUUUCAGGGUUGGAUCGCGCUUUGAGUUUACUCUCGCUAAGCUCUGUUAGAGCAUUCGCGAUAAAUGUACCUGCCUCUGGGCCUAGGCCAUUGUUGUUCAAUAUCAGGUGGCGGAGGGGGAGGUGCGCUCUUAGAAACUCGACGAGGGGAUCUUUGGUAUUCACGCCGAAUGCGUUAUCGCUGAGAUCGAUGGCUUGCAGGGUGUGGACGUCAAGGAGAGGUCUGAGGAGGGAGUAGAGCGCGGUAGGGAUUUCGCUAAGCAGGCGACCGGUGAAAAGAUCGUCCAGUCGUACGGUUUCCAGGUUUUUUUGUUUGCGCAAAAGCAGUCCCAGUUUCCUACAUGCAUCGGGGCUGUAUGAGUUACCCCCAAGGUGUACCUCAGUGAAGACAUCGUCAGUGUUGAUGAGAGGUUCAAUAUAUUUUUCAAGAUCCUCCAGGCGAUCGUCGUCCACCUUUUUGAGCUCAGCGUCGAUCUGUCUGAUCUCAUCUUCGAUUUUCUUCAAUUUUGUUUCUUUAUCCUGUUUCGCCUGCAGUUGGCGUCUCUCCCCUUCCAAUAUUCUCUUUUCCUUUUCAAGGAUUUCUCUCUUGGAGUCAAAUCUCUGGCCUUUGACCCCAAUGACAAAGAGGAUAUGUGGAGGGGUCAUGGCGGGGUAAAUAUUGCUGUGCAAGGACACGAUCGUUCAGGAGGAGUAAGAAAAAUAUCAGUGUGAGUAUUCCAGCAAGCCAGCUGCUAUUAGAAGAGGGAAUCAGAAGGGUGAAUGUACAAGCC